UCCAUAUCACGUUGAAACACCGGUUUCGUUGAUCAUCGAAGUUAAACAACGUCGAGCCUGGUCCGUAUUUAGAUGGGUGAACACUUGGGAAUGCUAGGUGAUGUAAG
This is a non-coding RNA of Acanthosepion pharaonis, 107 nucleotides long. The record is from the annotation of a GenBank genome assembly. Lineage: Eukaryota; Metazoa; Mollusca; Cephalopoda; Sepiida; Sepiidae.